Molecule: ribosomal RNA, 253 nt
Filed under: uncultured bacterium
Lineage: Bacteria
Description: partial 16S ribosomal RNA
Rfam family: Bacterial small subunit ribosomal RNA
Source: RNAcentral
UACGGGGGGUGCAAGCGUUAUCCGGAUUCACUGGGUUUAAAGGGUGCGUAGGAGGGCAGGUAAGUCAGUGGUGAAAUCUCCGAGCUUAACUUGGAAACUGCCGUUGAUACUAUCUGUCUUGAAUGUUGUGGAGGUGAGCGGAAUAUGUCAUGUAGCGGUGAAAUGCGUAGAUAUGACAUAGAACACCAAUGGCGAAGGCAGCUCACUACACAAUUAUUGACUCUGAUGCACGAAAGCGUGGGGAUCAAACAGG